UGGGGAAUUUUCCGCAAUGGGCGCAAGCCUGACGGAGCAACGCCGCGUGAGGGAUGGAGGCCUUUGGGCUGUAAACCUCUUUUCUCAAGGAAGAAGAUCUGACGGUACUUGAGGAAUAAGCCACGGCUAAUUCCGUGCCAGCAGCCGCGGUAAUACGGGAGUGGCAAGCGUUAUCCGGAAUUAUUGGGCGUAAAGCGUCCGCAGGCGGCCGUUUAAGUCUGUUGUUAAAUCGUGGAGCUCAACUCCAUCACGGCAAUGGAAACUGUUCGGCUUGAGUAUGGUAGGGGCAGAGGGAAUUUCCGGUGUAGCGGUGAAAUGCGUAGAUAUCGGGAAGAACACCAGUGGCAAAAGCGCUCUGCUGGGCCAUUACUGACGCUCAUGGACGAAAGCCAGGGGAGCGAAAGGG
Molecule: ribosomal RNA, 406 nt
Filed under: uncultured cyanobacterium
Lineage: Bacteria; Bacillati; Cyanobacteriota
Description: bacterial SSU rRNA
Rfam family: Bacterial small subunit ribosomal RNA
Source: RNAcentral